RNAcentral lists this ribosomal RNA (537 nucleotides) under uncultured bacterium. RNAcentral's name for it is "bacterial SSU rRNA". It matches the Rfam family "Bacterial small subunit ribosomal RNA", at positions 146 to 684 of the family's 1533-position model. The record is from RNAcentral.
ACCUGGGGAAACCCAGGCUAAUACCGCAUACGUCCUACGGGAGAAAGGGGGCUCCGGCUCCCGCUAUGGGAUGAGCCUAUGUCGGAUUAGCUAGUUGGUGAGGUAAUGGCUCACCAAGGCAACGAUCCGUAGCUGGUCUGAGAGGAUGAUCAGCCACAUCGGGACUGAGACACNGCCCGAACUCCUACGGGAGGCAGCAGUGGGGAAUAUUGGACAAUGGGGGAAACCCUGAUCCAGCCAUGCCGCGUGUGUGAAGAAGGCCCUCGGGUUGUAAAGCACUUUCAGCGAGGAAGAACGCCUAGCGGUUAAUACCCGCUAGGAAAGACAUCACUCGCAGAAGAAGCACCGGCUAACUCCGUGCCAGCAGCCGCGGUAAUACGGAGGGUGCAAGCGUUAAUCGGAAUUACUGGGCGUAAAGCGCGCGUAGGUGGCUUGAUAAGCCGGUUGUGAAAGCCCCGGGCUCAACCUGGGAACGGCAUCCGGAACUGUCAAGCUAGAGUGCAGGAGAGGAAGGUAGAAUUCCCGGUGUAGCGGUGA